CAGCCGCCGCGGUAAUGCGUAGGUCCCGAGCGUUGUCCGGAUUUAUUGGGCGUAAAGGGAGCGCAGGCGGUUUAGUAAGUCUGAAGUUAAAGGCAUUGGCUCAACCAAUGUAUGCUUUGGAAACUGUUAGACUUGAGUGCAGAAGGGGAGAGUGGAAUUCCAUGUGUAGCGGUGAAAUGCGUAGAUAUAUGGAGGAGCACCGGUGGCGAAAGCGGCUCUCUGGUCUGUCACUGACGCUGAGGCUCGAAAGCGUGGGUAGCGAACAGGAUUAGAUACCCGUGUAGUCCCUGUCUCUUAUACC
RNAcentral lists this ribosomal RNA (301 nucleotides) under uncultured bacterium. Its description in RNAcentral is "partial 16S ribosomal RNA". It matches the Rfam family "Bacterial small subunit ribosomal RNA", at positions 509 to 808 of the family's 1533-position model. The record is from RNAcentral.